Non-coding RNA from Sturnus vulgaris (Common starling), 352 nucleotides. The record is from RefSeq and is a predicted model, not a curated record. Lineage: Eukaryota; Metazoa; Chordata; Aves; Passeriformes; Sturnidae.
UGUCUGGAAAAUAAUUUCCAAGCAGAAGGAAGGCUAUUAUCAUACCUAUGAAAACUAUAAUUACAGAACUCCCCUGACCCCAGAAACUGAACACAAAGACUCGUGUCUGCCAUAGGAGGCUGGGCAUCCGUGCUGCUGCACACCAGGCACCCGCAGCGAGGAAGUGCUGCCCACGUGGAGACUGGAAUUCUGUGGCCAAAAAAAAGGACAUUUUACUGAAAAUCUUUAAUGCUCUUCUGCUCUCAGUAGUUACUGUAAGGAUCUAAUGAGGCUCAGACUGCACCCAGUGCAGGUGCUGCCUCGGAGGGAAUUCUGUGCACUGCUCCUGAUGAAGAAUAUUUCCUUUAUCCCC